RNAcentral lists this ribosomal RNA (433 nucleotides) under uncultured bacterium. RNAcentral describes it as "partial 16S ribosomal RNA". It matches the Rfam family "Bacterial small subunit ribosomal RNA", at positions 29 to 507 of the family's 1533-position model. The record is from RNAcentral.
AACGAACGCUGGCGGCAUGCCUAACACAUGCAAGUCGAACGAGACCUUCGGGUCUAGUGGCGCACGGGUGCGUAACGCGUGGGGACCUGCCCUUAGGUUCGGAAUAACUCCCCGAAAGGGGUGCUAAUACCGGAUAAGGUCUUCGGACCAAAGAUUUAUUGCCUUUGGAUGGGCGCGCGUUGGUUUAGCUAGUGGGUAGGGUAAAAGCAUAUCAAGGCGACGAUCCAUAGCUGGUCUGAGAGGAUGAUCAGCCACACUGGAGCUGAGACACGGCCCAGACUCCUACGGGAGGGAGCAGUGGGGAAUACAGGACGAGGGGCGAGAGCCUGAUCCAGCAGUGCCGCGUAAGUGAUGAAGGCCUUAGGGUUGUAAAGCUCUUUUACCCGAAGUGAUAAUGACGGUACCGGGAGAAUAAGCUCCGGCUAACUCCGUG